GUAAUUUCUUGUCAGGGUAGAUAUACCAUUCUUUCACAUAAUAUUUUAGUUAGUUAGAACUUAGAAAUGUUCUUCCAUUGCUGGUUAUCAAAGAUUUCUCAGUGUAGUUUUCUACUUUCUAUGAUUGCUUUUCAUUUUAUUCAUGUUAUAUUUCAUUAUAGGUUUGUCCUUCAAUAACACAUUGCACCUGGAAAUAAAUAUUUCCUCAACUUGAAGAAAGCAAUAUAAGUUAGCAGUUCCA
This 241-nucleotide unclassified non-coding RNA is filed under the name Hevea brasiliensis (rubber tree). Lineage: Eukaryota; Viridiplantae; Streptophyta; Magnoliopsida; Malpighiales; Euphorbiaceae. The record is from RNAcentral.